CCAGGAUAUACAACAAUCACCAGAGUCAACAAACACAAAUAGGAUGCAAGUUUCACCUGCGUAAGUUUGAUCCCACGAAGGAAUAAAAACAAAAGUUCCAAAAGUGGUUCCCUACUUCCAGAUCGAGGAUCCUCCCGCCGUCCAUACGAGAGAUGGCGAGUUCUUGGGGCAGAGUUGUGGCCACGAAUCCACAGUCCACACGGCGACGCGAUCAAGAUCCAUAGUUCGCACGGCAGCCGGCCACACGGUAACUCUGCUGCAUCGGUAGACGCCUGUUGUCUACAAAGGUAGCGCGUACGUAGUGAUCUUCACCGCCGCGGCAUGCUCCACCUCGUCCCGAUCGCCGCCCCAUCAUACAUGGCGACCGAUGGCCGGAGAGGACCAACAUGCAACGCUAGUUGGCGGAAGAGAGAGGUUGCGGGAGGAGAUGAAGACGAGGGCGUCCAACU
Molecule: long non-coding RNA, 449 nt
Filed under: Hordeum vulgare
Lineage: Eukaryota; Viridiplantae; Streptophyta; Magnoliopsida; Poales; Poaceae
Description: long non-coding RNA (HVUL_LNC011109)
Source: RNAcentral